UCUCCGUAGGUGAACCUGCUGAGGGAUCAUUACUGAGUGAGGGUUUAACCGCCCGACCUCCAACCCUUUGUGAACUACAACUCUGUUGCUUCGGGGGCGACCCCGCCGUUUCGGCGGUGGCGCUCCCGGUGGCCAAUUAUUAAACUCUGCGUCUCUUGCGUCGGAGUCGUAAAGAAAGUUAAACAAAACUUUCAACAACGGAUCUCUUGGUUCUGGCAUCGAUGAAGAACGCAGC
This 235-nucleotide unclassified non-coding RNA is filed under the name uncultured fungus. Its description in RNAcentral is "sequence contains ITS1, 5.8S rRNA gene". The stretch from base 187 to 235 matches the Rfam family "5.8S ribosomal RNA", at positions 1 to 49 of the family's 154-position model. Lineage: Eukaryota; Fungi. The record is from RNAcentral.